This 15859-nucleotide long non-coding RNA is filed under the name Malus domestica (apple). RNAcentral describes it as "long non-coding RNA (MDOM_LNC016630)". The record is from RNAcentral. Lineage: Eukaryota; Viridiplantae; Streptophyta; Magnoliopsida; Rosales; Rosaceae.
CUACCAUAUUUCUUCACUGGCAUAACCCAGUGUCAUACAAAUUCACCUUCGGGGUGAUGUUUAUGCCUGCGGCCGAUUAUGAUACCCCUAGUUGAGAACAUCAUUGUUUUGAUUUACAGGAUUCUUUGGAUUUACCUUCAGGCGUUUCGGUAUCACUUUUAUAGAUGAUUUUAUUGUUUACAAACAUUUUUGGCAUGUUAGGAUUUUCAGAAAAACCUAUUAUGUAGUAUUAUAUAUGUUUUCAAAACAGGGGUUAGUAUGUUCAGAAAGAAAUUGGUUUUCUUAUUAUUAUUACUUAUAUUAAACUAUGGUCCACUCACCUUUUUUUUUUGCGCCCCCUUCAGGAUUUAGAAUUGAGGCAUACGAUUCCAGCGUCAGGGUACUCCCACAUUAGUAUCUUCGAGUCUUCUCAAUGUAGGACCCCUCUCCUUUCUUCGUACCUUUUGAUCGGAUGAUAUUUAUAUAUAUUUUUACUUCGAAUUCACUCGUCUUUUCUUAGUUAGUUCCUUAUAUUUUUGAGCUAUUUACGUUAUUUUUGUGUUUAUAGGAUCUGUUAUGCAAAUUUACCCUUUAUUGUCAAAUGAUAAUACUAAUUUACAUUUUAUAAACAAUGUUUGUCCCUCUCUAUGUCUAUAUAUUGAAAGAAAAGCAAAAAAAAUAAUAAUAAGAAGUGAGGAGAAACGGUGGGAAAGUGAGGGUCAGAGAAAUAAAGGGAGCUGCCCUUUUGGGCAGCGUGAAAGUGGAAAGGCAGAAGCAGGAAAUAAUGAGAAGUGGGGAAAAUAAUAGAACAAAGGUGAGGAAGGAGACACGGGACCCAGGGAGGACAGCACGUGAAAGGAUCCAAGAGAGAGACUGGUGAGCAGCUGGCGUGGGAAAGUCAGAAAGGAGAGGCCACACGGGAAGCUGCCCUUGGGGGCAGCGGGAAAGAAAGAAAGCACUGCACAGGGGGGGUCUGGAAGCGGUAGAAGGGAGCUGCCCUUUGGCAGCUCGCUCGCAGAGACGCAGGAAGGAGGCUGCCUUUGGGCAGCGUGGAAAACCAGAAAAAUAAGAGAGAGGUCAGCACGGGAAGAGAGGUCAGUACGGUCAGAGAGGGUCAGUACGGGAGAGAGAGGAUAGACGGGAGGCGCGAGUGAGAAGGAGCUUAGCUGGCCUUGCAGCUUUGAAAAACGAAAAAAAAAACAGAAACGAAAGAGGAGAGACCGGGGGGGUGUCAGGGAGAACCAAAGGCAGACAGCUGCCUUGCGGCAGCAGAUAGCACGGACAGAAGAGAGAGGCAGGGCGCAGCAAUUAAGGAGCAUGCAGAAAAUAAGAGAGGGAACGCGGAAAGGAAAGAAAAGAGGGGUGUCAGUGAGCACAGCGCCAGGAGGUCAGGAAGAAGGCAGAAUGAAGGAGGUCAGCGCACAGGAAGCAGAAACACUCUCGCUCUCGGUUAAAUCUUUCCAAACUUCUAUUUUAUUUCUGUUUUAAUAAUGUGUAAUUAAAUUUUAUUUUGGCUAGAGGUUAAUUCAAAACCAUGAAUAUAUUUUUAAUAUGAAUUGAUUACCUUCAGUUGUGAGUUAUAAGUUGUGAAUUCAAUUUACUUAUCCGUUCGUAUAAAAACUGAUUUGUGUAUGUUGGUUGAGAGUGCACGCUUAAUUUACAUGCAUGAAUUUGAUGCUAGAAUAUAAGUGAAUUUCACCUAAUCGUUAUGAACUUAUUUUCACAAGUAGUAAAGGUUGCUAGUCACAAUCACGUUAAGUAAAUUCUUGGCAAGAGUAUCAUGCUUUUCAUAGUUACGAAUGCCUCGUCAAUGCUUAUAGUUUUCACAAAGUUUAAUGAUCUUUGAUUGUAUCUCUAUUGUGCUUUUCACGUAGGGGACUUUUGAAGAAUGUUUUGAAUUGUUGUAUGCGUUUUCCCGUCCAAUUCAAUAACUUAAGGAAAACUUGAAGAUUAAAAAAGUGCUGUUCACGGUUAAUCUGGAGUAUUGAAAUUUACAAUUUAUUAAAAGAACAACUGGAAAUCAUUUUGUAUGCAAGUAUAACAUGUGUGGAGAAGAACCCUCUAGCUAGUCCGUCAUUUAUCAUUUUACCUUAAUUUUAUGUUUUUGUCAAUUCUGUAAUUUAAUUAAGUUUAAUUUACUUUUCAUCAAAACCAAACACCCAUCCAUUAUUAAAUUAUAUUAUUUAUUUAGUUUUCUUUAUUGUUAGUCUUUUAAUUUAAUUUCCGUCCAUUUCAGUUCCUAGUGUUUAAUUUAAUUGUUUUCAUUAUUUUGAGUCAUUUUAAGUGUGUUUCGAGUUAUUAGAGUUUUUAGCCUAAUUUUGUGUCCUUGAGUCUUGUUUAAUAUUUUUAAGUUAAUUUAGAAUAGAUUAGCAAUCCCUCCUAAUCCCCGGCCUAGAACGAUACCCUACUUACAUACUUUACUACAUUUGAUAAAAAGAGGGUUUAAUUUUGUGUGUCAAGUAAUUCUCACAUCAAAUUUUGGCGCCGUUGCCGGGGAUUAGUAACUUUGCUAAUCCUUUUAUUUUUGUUUUUGUUUAUGUUUAUAUUGGUGUUUGUGUAUUUUACUUUUGAUAUUUGAUUUAUUUUUCUUUCUUUGAUUUUAGGCACAAAUGGAGCUGAGGGAAAUUUAAAGGAAAGAUGCGUCCGGCUAAAGACGUUAAAUCAAGCGCUUCUUGGGAGGCAACCCAAGCAUUCAACGAAGGGAGACUUUGGAAUCGCUAACCCAAUCAGAUUUGCAUUUUUACACCCUUAUCUUUACUGCUUUCAUUUUGUUUUGUUUAGUUAGUUGUGUUAUUUGGUUGAUUUCUGUGAGUUUGUAUUACUUAGUUUAAGUGUGGGGGAAGGUUAACCAAAGUCUCUUUACAUUAAUUUACAUAAAAAAAAAAAAACAAUUAAAAAAAAAAAAAAAAAAAAAGAUAAAAUUUAAAAUUAAUGAUAAAAAAAAAAAAAAAAAACAAUUAAAAAAUCAAAAAAAAAAAAAAUACAUAAAAAAAAAAAAAAAAAAAAAAAAAAUUAAAAUUAAAAUUUUACAAUGAUGUAAACUAAUAGUAUUCAUUGGUCGGGUGGUGCUUCAGUAGUAGGCGGGGCUUCAGCAGUCGGCGGGGCCACAGAAGGAAGAGGCAGCAGAGGUUGAUCAGUUGGAGCUUCACUACGCGGUGCCGCCCCAGAAGACGAAGGCAGAUGCGGUUGGAACAAACCCACAAACCUCCGAUGAUCAAGUAAAAUUUGACCAUCGGUGUCCUGCAUCUGGUCAAUCUUCCUCUUCAUGCUGGUGGCAUAGCUGUGUGCGAGCUUGUGCAAUUCUUUAUUCUCAUGCUUGAGCCCUUUAAUCUCUUGUUUGAGACUCUGUAUUUCAGCCACCAACGAUUCAACGUGACGGGUUCGAGCAAAUAGGCGUUGGGCCAUGUUGGACACAGAACCCGCACACUGCACGCUAAGAGCCAGAGACUCCUUAACCGCCAAUUCAUCAGAUCGUCUAGCGAGCAGUCUGUUAUCUCUUGGGGUGACAAGGUUUCGGGCCACCACCGCAGCUGUCAUGUCAUUUUUCAUCAUCGAAUCCCCCACGGUAAGGGGACCGGUAGGGGAUAUGAAGGAUGGCCGCCAUAUGUUGUCUGGUGAAGGCGGAGCUGCCUCUUCACCAAGGUUCAAGUCAAAACGACGAUCGGAAGGGCCAGACAUUUUUCAGAGGUGGUGAAGAAAGAAGAGAGUCGGAAUGAUCAAGAUUAAACAAGUGCAAGAAGGGAGUGUUUACAGGAGGGAGCUCAAGUGUGUUGUGGAACAAGCUUAACGUCUCUAUAAAAAGGAAGAAAUCAAAGAGGCGCUCCUCAGAGAAGCGUCCUCUCGCAAAUCGAAGAGUCGGGGCUCCGUUCUCAAACGUCUGAUUCUUUUCUCAAAAGAGGAGUUUUCCUUUCUCAAAAAGCCGGAUUCUUUUCUCAAAAGAGGCGUUUCAUUUCUUAAAGGCUGGGCUUGCUCAGAAACCACGAGCCGAACCCCGGAUUUCAAAAGAUCAAUUUGUCCAGACGUGUCGUCACUUGUCACACGCAAAUUGCUUUGCGGAAAUCUCGGGCAGUUUGUCGAAGCACCAAUUCAGAAAUCGAAGAGGGAAAUUCAACAGUCAAAGACACGCUAGCUUUCUCAAAAGCUGGGCUUCAACCCACGGGAAAAUCUUCUUUUCCAGAUUUAUCCGCACGUGUCACAUGCUACCUCUACAAUCGACGAUGCUCAGAGCUCGAAGCGCCGAUUCCAGAUAUCAAUGAGGAAUCAGCUUUGCGGAAAUUACGGGCAAACUUUGUCAGAAAGCGCGUAAUUUGUAUUCUUCACCCAUCCACCGGCUGCCGACACUAAGUGAGAGAACAGUUCCGGUUGUGAAGACAAGUCCUAUAAGUUUCCACCUUCGCCUUCCACAGCAAAAGCACACCCUCUCAACACCUCUUCAUCUCCGAAAAUGCAUUCCCAAAGAAUCCUCUCGAGUCACUCUGUGUUCCUCAUUCCUUGGGAUACUCCUGCGAACAACCCAUUCAAAGCAAAAGUAUUUCAUAUCAUAAAGGUUGAAAGCAAGAGUAUCUCAUAUCAUGCUUUCUCCAUGUCCUUCUCCUUGUCUUUGUUUUCCGACAAGGAGAAAGAGAGCAAUCAGCCAGCAUUUGGUAUCAAUCUUCCGAUCUGGAGCCAACUGCCUGGAACCCCUUCCUGAUUGCCUACCUAGCCUUGCUCUCGAGUACUCAUCUUCAUCAUUUUAUGCUUUCUCUUCGUCUACCACAUCUGCCUGGGGGACAGUAAGGGAAGUGAAAAUGAUACCUCGAAGCAUGUGGAGACAAUUCAGCUAGGGACAAGGAGAAAGAAAGCAAGAGGUGGGCACUUGGAAAGAUUGAAGAAAGAAAUAAGGACCAACACCUUUCCCUCGUGCCUGCCCGUUGUGCAGAAGAAACAAGCAGAGAAGAAUGCAGCUUGCACAAUCAUCCCAGCGGAAGGAGUCCGAACUGAGGAACUAGAGAAGCUGCCACAUCUGCUUGGAGAACAAAUAAGGAACUGCAACAUAACCAAAGAGCAAAGCUUCGCCGUACAAUACAUAAAAUCAUCACUUGCAAGUGAAAAGCUAAGUGUCACCCUGUUCAAGAGGAAAGCUGUGGAAAGUCAACAAGCACGACCAAUGAUUACUUAUUAGUUUUAUUCAUUAUCUUUUAUCGUAAUUUUCAAUUUUUCGUUUGCAAUUUUUUUUUUUAAUUAAUUUUCUUGCGUUACUUAACUGAAUUAUUUCUUUUCUUUGCAGGAACUUUUGGUUCUUUCCACCCUUGAAGUUGAUUGCAGAAUUUUAGCUUGGGGUCAUCGCUUGAUUUUACUGCAAAUUAGGGAAGUUUUCAGUCCAAUUGUUUUAUUUUGUUUCUUAUUAUUUAUUUUAUUUUUUAUUUUUUAUUUGCAUUAUAGUGUUUUCUGACAUUGGGGACAAUGUCAAGUUUAAGUGUGGGGGUAGAAAUCUCUAGAAUUUCAUUUGUUUCUGUGUUGCUGUUUUUUUUGUGUUCUUAAUUAGUUUUGUUUUCUUUUAAAAAAAAAAAAUUUAAAUAAAAAUAAAAAAAAAAAAUCGGAAAAUUAAAAAAUCCAAAAAUAUUGUCUUGUUUCCCUUAUUGUUUUGAAUUAGAUUUUUUGUUAGUUUCCCGACCCAAUGAUAUAAUUGGAUCAAAAAUUUGAACCAUGAUCAUCAAGAACUUAGUUAACAUGUGUUUGGUGAAAUUCCUAAUUCUCUUGUUAGUUUUGUACAUGUUUGACCAUCUUUGAAAAACCAAAUGCACAUAGCCUUGUUAAUGUGAAACUAAAGUAUGACUUAAAGCUUCAUAUGUGAAUUUAGUGACCAUAUACAUCCUAUGUGAGUUUUUGAGCCUAUUGAAAGUGUGUGCAUUUUUCAUACACUCCUAUUUUUUUUUUAUGUGUGAUGAACUUAUGUGAGAUACAUCUCUAGAACUUGCGUAACGAUCUUUCGAAUUGUUUGUCAUUGAUUGCAUGAACUUGGAAAUGAUAGAGGCAUUAGGUUUACCACUAUGGCCCAAAUAACCAUGUUUCCCAAAGAAAAAUGAUAUCAUUAGUUUGCCAAUUUGAGCCGUGUUUGUUGAGCCUUUUAUUUCUUAUCACCAGAUAUGUCUACCCUUAUACCUGAAACAUUUUUCCUUACCCUUUCCAAGCGAGCAAUGCGAAAUUGUCUUAUGAGAAACGUUGGUGAAGUACUGUGAAGAUGUUUGGCAAAAGAAUAAGUGUGGGGGUAUUUCAUGUUUGUAUUUAAAAAAAAAAAAAAAAAAAAAGAAAGAAAAAGAAAGAUUGUAUACAAAGAAAAUAAAAAGUUUUUAAAGUUUCAGUUUAAGGGUGUGGUUGGAGGUGUUAGAAGAAUCGCUGGAAAUAUUGAGUUCUUAUAAAUCUAAACAAAAGAAUUGCUUGCAAUGUAGCUUGGAACUUGUGUUUUCCUAUUCUUUCAUUUCAAUAACCCUAUCCCUAAGCCUCAUUACAUCCAAUAAAAGUCCUCUUGAUUUAAGUUUUGCAAUUAUGACUGUGGAGAAGUGAUCUUUAUGCAAGCUUAUGGUAGAAAUUUCACAUUUGAUUCUUUGAGCGAAACACAUUAAAACUAAACACAUGUGUGAUUGAGUGCAUAUCCCGUGAGAAGGUCGCUAGUUUGCAUAUGAUGAUUUUAAAAAUAAAAACUUGAAAUUGCAUUAGCAUGGCUAUCUCACACACUACACUUCAAGGAUGAUUUAAAGAUUACUGCUAAUAUUUGAAUAAGGAAGAUGAACUUGGAUUAUUUCCUUGAUGCUAGCUAUGGUUCUUGAUGAUUUGUUUUCUCGAAUGAAAUUCUAUGAGGGUCACAUAGGGGGAAGCUAAUGUUUUUCUUGUUACUUCUUGUUCUAGUUUUCUUUGUUUUGCUCGAGGACUAGCAAAAGUUAAGUGUGGGGGUAUUUGAUCGGAUGAUAUUUAUAUAUAUUUUUACUUCGAAUUCACUCGUCUUUUCUUAGUUAGUUCCUUAUAUUUUUGAGCUAUUUACGUUAUUUUUGUGUUUAUAGGAUCUGUUAUGCAAAUUUACCCUUUAUUGUCAAAUGAUAAUACUAAUUUACAUUUUAUAAACAAUGUUUGUCCCUCUCUAUGUCUAUAUAUUGAAAGAAAAGCAAAAAAAAUAAUAAUAAGAAGUGAGGAGAAACGGUGGGAAAGUGAGGGUCAGAGAAAUAAAGGGAGCUGCCCUUUUGGGCAGCGUGAAAGUGGAAAGGCAGAAGCAGGAAAUAAUGAGAAGUGGGGAAAAUAAUAGAACAAAGGUGAGGAAGGAGACACGGGACCCAGGGAGGACAGCACGUGAAAGGAUCCAAGAGAGAGACUGGUGAGCAGCUGGCGUGGGAAAGUCAGAAAGGAGAGGCCACACGGGAAGCUGCCCUUGGGGGCAGCGGGAAAGAAAGAAAGCACUGCACAGGGGGGGUCUGGGAGCGGUAGAAGGGAGCUGCCCUUUGGGCAGCUCGCAGAGACGCAGGAAGGAGGCUGCCUUUGGGCAGCGUGGAAAACCAGAAAAAUAAGAGAGAGGUCAGCACGGGAAGAGAGGUCAGUACGGGAGAGAGAGGUCAGUACGGGAGAGAGAGGAUAGACGGGAGGCGCGAGUGAGAAGGAGCUUAGCUGGCCUUGCAGCUUUGAAAAACGAAAAAAAAAACAGAAACGAAAGAGGAGAGACCGGGGGGGUGUCAGGGAGAACCAAAGGCAGACAGCUGCCUUGCGGCAGCAGAUAGCACGGACAGAAGAGAGAGAGGCAGGGGCGCAGCAAUUAAGGAGCAUGCAGAAAAUAAGAGAGGGAACGCGGAAAGGAAAGAAAAGAGGGGUGUCAGUGAGCACAGCGCCAGGAGGUCAGGAAGAAGGCAGAACGAAGGAGGUCAGCGCACAGGAAGCAGAAACACUCUCGCUCUCGGUUAAAUCUUUCCAAACUUCUAUUUUAUUUCUGUUUUAAUAAUGUGUAAUUAAAUUUUAUUUUGGCUAGAGGUUAAUUCAAAACCAUGAAUAUAUUUUUAAUAUGAAUUGAUUACCUUCAGUUGUGAGUUAUAAGUUGUGAAUUCAAUUUACUUAUCCGUUCGUAUAAAAACUGAUUUGUGUAUGUUGGUUGAGAGUGCACGCUUAAUUUACAUGCAUGAAUUUGAUGCUAGAAUAUAAGUGAAUUUCACCUAAUCGUUAUGAACUUAUUUUCACAAGUAGUAAAGGUUGCUAGUCACAAUCACGUUAAGUAAAUUCUUGGCAAGAGUAUCAUGCUUUUCAUAGUUACGAAUGCCUCGUCAAUGCUUAUAGUUUUCACAAAGUUUAAUGAUCUUUGAUUGUAUCUCUAUUGUGCUUUUCACGUAGGGGACUUUUGAAGAAUGUUUUGAAUUGUUGUAUGCGUUUUCCCGUCCAAUUCAAUAACUUAAGGAAAACUUGAAGAUUAAAAAAGUGCUGUUCACGGUUAAUCUGGAGUAUUGAAAUUUACAAUUUAUUAAAAGAACAACUGGAAAUCAUUUUGUAUGCAAGUAUAACAUGUGUGGAGAAGAACCCUCUAGCUAGUCCGUCAUUUAUCAUUUUACCUUAAUUUUAUGUUUUUGUCAAUUCUGUAAUUUAAUUAAGUUUAAUUUACUUUUCAUCAAAACCAAACACCCAUCCAUUAUUAAAUUAUAUUAUUUAUUUAGUUUUCUUUAUUGUUAGUCUUUUAAUUUAAUUUCCGUCCAUUUCAGUUCCUAGUGUUUAAUUUAAUUGUUUUCAUUAUUUUGAGUCAUUUUAAGUGUGUUUCGAGUUAUUAGAGUUUUUAGCCUAAUUUUGUGUCCUUGAGUCUUGUUUUAAUAUUUUUAAGUUAAUUUAGAAUAGAUUAGCAAUCCCUCCUAAUCCCGGCCUAGAACGAUACCCUACUUACAUACUUUACUACAUUUGAUAAAAAGAGGGUUUAAUUUUGUGUGUCAAGUAAUUCUCACAUCAAAUUUUGGCGCCGUUGCCGGGGAUUAGUAACUUUGCUAAUCCUUUUAUUUUUGUUUUUGUUUAUGUUUAUAUUGGUGUUUGUGUAUUUUACUUUUGAUAUUUGAUUUAUUUUUCUUUCUUUGAUUUUAGGCACAAAUGGAGCUGAGGGAAAUUUAAAGGAAAGAUGCGUCCGGCUAAAGACGUUAAAUCAAGCGCUUCUUGGGAGGCAACCCAAGCAUUCAACGAAGGGAGACUUUGGAAUCGCUAACCCAAUCAGAUUUGCAUUUUUACACCCUUAUCUUUACUGCUUUCAUUUUGUUUUGUUUAGUUAGUUGUGUUAUUUGGUUGAUUUCUGUGAGUUUGUAUUACUUAGUUUAAGUGUGGGGGAAGGUUAACCAAAGUCUCUUUACAUUAAUUUACAUAAAAAAAAAAAACAAUUAAAAAAAAAAAAAAAAAAAAAGAUAAAAUUUAAAAUUAAUGAUAAAAAAAAAAAAAAAAACAAUUAAAAAAUCAAAAAAAAAAAAAAUAAAUAAAAAAAAAAAAAAAAAAAAAAUUUAAAAUUAAAAUUUUACAAUGAUGUAAACUAAUAGUAUUCAUUGGUCGGGUGGUGCUUCAGUAGUAGGCGGGGCUUCAGCAGUCGGCGGGGCCACAGAAGGAAGAGGCAGCAGAGGUUGAUCAGUUGGAGCUUCACUACGCGGUGCCGCCCCAGAAGACGAAGGCAGAAUGCGGUUGGAACAAACCCACAAAACCUCCGAUGAUCAAGUAAAAUUUGACCAUCGGUGUCCUGCAUCUGGUCAAUCUUCCUCUUCAUGCUGGUGGCAUAGCUGUGUGCGAGCUUGUGCAAUUCUUUAUUCUCAUGCUUGAGCCCUUUAAUCUCUUGUUUGAGACUCUGUAUUUCAGCCACCAACGAUUCAACGUGACGGGUUCGAGCAAAUAGGCGUUGGGCCAUGUUGGACACAGAACCCGCACACUGCACGCUAAGAGCCAGAGACUCCUUAACCGCCAAUUCAUCAGAUCGUCUAGCGAGCAGUCUGUUAUCUCUUGGGGUGACAAGGUUUCGGGCCACCACCGCAGCUGUCAUGUCAUUUUUCAUCAUCGAAUCCCCCACGGUAAGGGGACCGGUAGGGGAUAUGAAGGAUGGCCGCCAUAUGUUGUCUGGUGAAGGCGGAGCUGCCUCUUCACCAAGGUUCAAGUCAAAACGACGAUUGGAAGGGCCAGACAUUUUUCAGAGGUGGUGAAGAAAGAAGAGAGUCGGAAUGAUCAAGAUUAAACAAGUGCAAGAAGGGAGUGUUUACAGGAGGGAGCUCAAGUGUGUUGUGGAACAAGCUUAACGUCUCUCUAUAAAAAGGAAGAAAAAUCAAAGAGGCGCUCCUCAGAGAAGCGUCCUCUCGCAAAUCGAAGAGUCGGGGCUCCGUUCUCAAACGUCUGAUUCUUUUCUCAAAAGAGGAGUUUCCUUUCUCAAAAGCCGGAUUCUUUUCUCAAAAGAGGCGUUUCAUUUCUUAAAGGCUGGGCUUGCCUCAGAAACCACGAGCCGAACCCCGGAUUUCAAAAAGAUCAAUUUGUCCAGACGUGUCGUCACUUGUCACACGCAAAUUGCUUUGCGGAAAUCUCGGGCAGUUUGUCGAAGCACCAAUUCAGAAAUCGAAGAGGGAAAUUCAACAGUCAAAGACACGCUAGCUUUCUCAAAAGCUGGGCUUCAACCCACGGGAAAAUCUUCUUUUCCAGAUUUAUCCGCACGUGUCACAUGCUACCUCUACAAUCGACGAUGCUCAGAGCUCGAAGCGCCGAUUCCAGAUAUCAAUGAGGAAUCAGCUUUGCGGAAAUUACGGGCAGCUUUGUCAGAAAGCGCGUAAUUUGUAUUCUUCACCCAUCCACCGGCUGCCGACACUAAGUGAGAGAACAGUUCCGGUUGUGAAGACAAGUCCUAUAAGUUUCCACCUUCGCCUUCCACAGCAAAAGCACACCCUCUCAACACCUCUUCAUCUCCGAAAAUGCAUUCCCAAAGAAUCCUCUCGAGUCACUCUGUGUUCCUCAUUCCUUGGGAUACUCCUGCGAACAACCCAUUCAAAGCAAAAGUAUUUCAUAUCAUAAAGGUUGAAAGCAAGAGUAUCUCAUAUCAUGCUUUCUCCAUGUCCUUUCUCCUUGUCUUUGUUUUCCGACAAGGAGAAAGAGAGCAAUCAGCCAGCAUUUGGUAUCAAUCUUCCGAUCUGGAGCCAACUGCCUGGAACCCCUUCCUGAUUGCCUACCUAGCCUUGCUCUCGAGUACUCAUCUUCAUCAUUUUAUGCUUUCUCUUCGUCUACCACAUCUGCCUGGGGGACAGUAAGGGAAGUGAAAAAUGAUACCUCGAAGCAUGUGGAGACAAUUCAGCUAGGGACAAGGAGAAAGAAAGCAAGAGGUGGGCACUUGGAAAGAUUGAAGAAAAGAAAUAAGGACCAACACCUUUCCCUCGUGCCUGCCCGUUGUGCAGAAGAAACAAGCAGAGAAGAAUGCAGCUUGCACAAUCAUCCCAGCGGAAGGAGUCCGAACUGAGGAACUAGAGAAGCUGCCAACAUCUGCUUGGAGAACAAAUAAGGAACUGCAACAUAACCAAAGAGCAAAGCUUCGCCGUACAAUAUCAUAAAAUCAUCACUUGCAAGUGAAAAGCUAAGUGUCACCCUGUUCAAGAGGAAAGCUGUGGAAAGUCAACAAGCACGACCAAUGAUUACUUAUUAGUUUUAUUCAUUAUCUUUUAUCGUAAUUUUCAAUUUUUCGUUUGCAAUUUUUUUUUUUAAUUAAUUUUCUUGCGUUACUUAACUGAAUUAUUUCUUUUCUUUGCAGGAACUUUUGGUUCUUUCCACCCUUGAAGUUGAUUGCAGAAUUUUAGCUUGGGGUCAUCGCUUGAUUUUACUGCAAAUUAGGGAAGUUUUCAGUCCAAUUGUUUUAUUUUUGUUUCUUAUUAUUUAUUUUAUUUUUUAUUUUUUAUUUGCAUUAUAGUGUUUUCUGACAUUGGGGACAAUGUCAAGUUUAAGUGUGGGGGUAGAAAUCUCUAGAAUUUCAUUUGUUUUCUGUGUUGCUGUUUUUUUUUGUGUUCUUAAUUAGUUUUGUUUUUCUUUUAAAAAAAAAAUUUAAAUUAUAAAAAUAAAAAAAAAAAAAAAUCGGAAAAUUUAAAAAAAUCCAAAAAUAUUGUCUUGUUUCCCUUAUUGUUUUGAAUUAGAUUUUUUGUUAGUUUCCCGACCCAAUGAUAUAAUUGGUCAUCAAAAAUUUGAACCAUGAUCAUCAAGAACUUAGUUAACAUGUGUUUGGUGAAAUUCCUAAUUCUCUUGUUAGUUUUGUACAUGUUUGACCAUCUUUGAAAAAACCAAAUGCACAUAGCCUUGUUAAUUGUGAAACUAAAGUAUAUGACUUAAAGCUUCAUAUGUGAAUUUAGUGACCAUAUACAUCCUAUGUGAGUUUUUGAGCCUAUUGAAAGUGUGUGCAUUUUUCAUACACUCCUAUUUUUUUUUUAUGUGUGAUGAACUUAUGUGAGAUACAUCUCUAGAACUUGCGUAACGAUCUUUCGAAUUGUUUGUCAUUGAUUUGCAUGAACUUGGAAAUGAUAGAGGCAUUAGGUUUACCACUAUGGCCCAAAAUAACCAUGUUUCCCAAAGAAAAAUGAUAUCAUUAGUUUGCCAAUUUGAGCCGUGUUUGUUGAGCCUUUUUUAUUUCUUAUCACCAGAUAUGUCUACCCUUAUACCUGAAAACAUUUUUCCUUACCCUUUCCAAGCGAGCAAUGCGAAAUUGUCUUAUGAGAAACGUUGGUGAAGUACUGUGAAGAUGUUUGGCAAAAGAAUAAGUGUGGGGGUAUUUCAUGUUUGUAUUUAAAAAAAAAAAAAAAAAAAAAGAAAAAAAAAAGAAAGAUUGUAUACAAAGAAAAUAAAAAGUUUUUAAAGUUUCAGUUUAAGGGUGUGGUUGGAGGUGUUAGAAGAAUCGCUGGAAAUAUUGAGUUCUUAUAAAUCUAAACAAAAGAAUUGCUUGCAAUGUAGCUUGGAACUUGUGUUUUCCUAUUCUUUCAUUUCAAUAACCCUAUCCCUAAGCCUCAUUACAUCCAAUAAAAGUCCUCUUGAUUUAAGUUUUGCAAUUAUGACUGUGGAGAAGUGAUCUUUAUGCAAGCUUAUGGUAGAAAUUUCACAUUUGAUUCUUUGAGCGAAACACAUUAAAACUAAACACAUGUGUGAUUGAGUGCAUAUCCCGUGAGAAGGUCGCUAGUUUGCAUAUGAUGAUUUUAAAAAUAAAAACUUGAAAUUGCAUUAGCAUGGCUAUCUCACACACUACACUUCAAGGAUGAUUUAAAGAUUACUGCUAAUAUUUGAAUAAGGAAGAUGAACUUGGAUUAUUUCCUUGAUGCUAGCUAUGGUUCUUGAUGAUUUGUUUUCUCGAAUGAAAUUCUAUGAGGGUCACAUAGGGGGAAGCUAAUGUUUUUCUUGUUACUUCUUGUUCUAGUUUUCUUUGUUUUGCUCGAGGACUAGCAAAAGUUAAGUGUGGGGGUAUUUGAUCGGAUGAUAUUUAUAUAUAUUUUUACUUCGAAUUCACUCGUCUUUUCUUAGUUAGUUCCUUAUAUUUUUGAGCUAUUUACGUUAUUUUUGUGUUUAUAGGAUCUGUUAUGCAAAUUUACCCUUUAUUGUCAAAUGAUAAUACUAAUUUACAUUUUAUAAACAAUGUUUGUCCCUCUCUAUGUCUAUAUAUUGAAAGAAAAGCAAAAAAAAUAAUAAUAAGAAGUGAGGAGAAACGGUGGGAAAGUGAGGGUCAGAGAAAUAAAGGGAGCUGCCCUUUUGGGCAGCGUGAAAGUGGAAAGGCAGAAGCAGGAAAUAAUGAGAAGUGGGGAAAUAAUAGAACAAAGGUGAGGAAGGAGACACGGGACCCAGGGAGGACAGCACGUGAAAGGAUCCAAGAGAGAGACUGGUGAGAGCAGCUGGCGUGGGAAAGUCAGAAAGGAGAGGCCACACGGGAAGCUGCCCUUGGGGGCAGCGGGAAAGAAAGAAAGCACUGCACAGGGGGGGUCUGGGAGCGGUAGAAGGGAGCUGCCCUUUGGGCAGCUCGCAGAGACGCAGGAAGGAGGCUGCCUUUGGGCAGCGUGGAAAACCAGAAAAAUAAGAGAGAGGUCAGCACGGGAAGAGAGGUCAGUACGGGAGAGAGAGGUCAGUACGGGAGAGAGAGGAUAGACGGGAGGCGCGAGUGAGAAGGAGCUUAGCUGGCCUUGCAGCUUUGAAAAACGAAAAAAAAAACAGAAACGAAAGAGGAGAGACCGGGGGGGUGUCAGGGAGAACCAAAGGCAGACAGCUGCCUUGCGGCAGCAGAUAGCACGGACAGAAGAGAGAGGCAGGGCGCAGCAAUUAAGGAGCAUGCAGAAAAUAAGAGAGGGAACGCGGAAAGGAAAGAAAAGAGGGGUGUCAGUGAGCACAGCGCCAGGAGGUCAGGAAGAAGGCAGAACGAAGGAGGUCAGCGCACAGGAAGCAGAAACACUCUCGCUCUCGGUUAAAUCUUUCCAAACUUCUAUUUUAUUUCUGUUUUAAUAAUGUGUAAUUAAAUUUUAUUUUGGCUAGAGGUUAAUUCAAAACCAUGAAUAUAUUUUUAAUAUGAAUUGAUUACCUUCAGUUGUGAGUUAUAAGUUGUGAAUUCAAUUUACUUAUCCGUUCGUAUAAAAAACUGAUUUGUGUAUGUUGGUUGAGAGUGCACGCUUAAUUUACAUGCAUGAAUUUGAUGCUAGAAUAUAAGUGAAUUUCACCUAAUCGUUAUGAACUUAUUUUCACAAGUAGUAAAGGUUGCUAGUCACAAUCACGUUAAGUAAAAUUCUUGGCAAGAGUAUCAUGCUUUUCAUAGUUACGAAUGCCUCGUCAAUGCUUAUAGUUUUCACAAAGUUUAAUGAUCUUUGAUUGUAUCUCUCUAUUGUGCUUUUCACGUAGGGGACUUUUGAAGAAUGUUUUGAAUUGUUGUAUGCGUUUUCCCGUCCAAUUCAAUAACUUAAGGAAAACUUGAAGAUUAAAAAAGUGCUGUUCACGGUUAAUCUGGAGUAUUGAAAUUUACAAUUUAUUAAAAGAACAACUGGAAAAUCAUUUUGUAUGCAAGUAUAACAUGUGUGGAGAAGAACCCUCUAGCUAGUCCGUCAUUUAUCAUUUUACCUUAAUUUUAUGUUUUUGUCAAUUCUGUAAUUUAAUUAAGUUUAAUUUACUUUUCAUCAAAACCAAACACCCAUCCAUUAUUAAAUUAUAUUAUUUAUUUAGUUUUCUUUAUUGUUAGUCUUUUAAUUUAAUUUCCGUCCAUUUCAGUUCCUAGUGUUUAAUUUAAUUGUUUUCAUUAUUUUGAGUCAUUUUAAGUGUGUUUCGAGUUAUUAGAGUUUUUAGCCUAAUUUUGUGUCCUUGAGUCUUGUUUAAUAUUUUUAAGUUAAUUUAGAAUAGAUUAGCAAUCCCUCCUAAUCCCCGGCCUAGAACGAUACCCUACUUACAUACUUUACUACAUUUGAUAAAAAGAGGGUUUAAUUUUGUGUGCUUAUAUAUUUCGCAUCACCUUUUUAUAAUAAUUCUCUUGCAAUAUUCUUGAUUAGUUGUAUGCUCUGAAUACAUUCAUGCAUUUGCAUAUUUCAUUAUAUUUAAAUUUACCUAUUUUAUUUACAUUCAUUCUUCCUUUAUAACUUGCAUGCAUGUUAAUAUGGCUUCGUCAUCCUCGGGUGCCAGCCAGCACAUGCCGAUCUUGAUAUUUAGGGAUAUCAGGGUUAUGACGUGUCAACAUUGACCUAAACCCUUAAGGUAUGAAUGUCUUUAAGAUCAUAGAACUCCAGAGUCCAUUUCUUAAUGUGAAAAUUUUGGCUUUUCAUAUACUGUCUCUCAUCGGGCACCACCUUUAUCUCAUUUUCAUUAGUGAACUCUAGCAUAAACCAAGUUCUUACCUAGUGAUCCAAGUAAAGGUUGCCUUGAAUCAGACCUUCCACCUAUUGUUCUAAAAAUC